ACAUCUAUUAACCCCAGUUUUAACGUUAACAGGAUCUUCCACACCUCAGUCUUCAGUCAGCUUGGAUACAGAUACACUGUCUCUAACUUAAAAAAGCAGUGAAGAGAGUGACUGGUUUAGUCCAAAACGAUUCAGAAAGGAUGAUGAUGAUGAUGUGGCAUCACAACAAGCACAGGCCAGAGAUCUGAUAAAACAAAUUCUACAGACAAGACCAGGUGGAGGAAAUGUGCUUAAGGAGUAUGAAGAUACAGGCACAAUUAGUGAUGACACAAGAAAAGUGAUGGUGAACAUCUUAGUUGCACACAUGAUGGAGACAGAAGGAAGGGUCCCACAUCGACUUACCAAACAGAAGUAUGGAUUGGGAAUUAUCACCUUGUUUCCCUCACUCAGAGAUCCCCAAGGAAGGACUGGAUAUGAACAUUUCUAUGAUGGCCAAAAAAACACUGGAUUCUUGUCAUGGCGCCUCAAGACAGUACAAAGGGGGACAAGACCUUCUGGAAAUAAGGACGAUCCAAAAACAGAAGAAAAGGGAGGUCCUUUGCUUGACAGACAGCUAUGUUACCAAGAACUUCAGCUAGAUAAUGAUCAAAGUGUAGAGGCCAUCUCUUUGAUGAAUCAUACAAGUGAACGUGAGGUCAUCAUGCAGAAGAUGAAGGCAACGUUUGAAUACAGACAGCGCCUUAUCCAUGAUCCAGAGGGAUCCACCACCAA
Carassius carassius (crucian carp) is the source of this 711-nucleotide long non-coding RNA. RefSeq lists it as uncharacterized. The transcript is spliced from 4 exons. The record is from RefSeq and is a predicted model, not a curated record. NCBI's taxonomy places the organism in Eukaryota, Metazoa, Chordata, Actinopteri, Cypriniformes, Cyprinidae.